Molecule: long non-coding RNA, 6564 nt
Organism: Lolium perenne
Lineage: Eukaryota; Viridiplantae; Streptophyta; Magnoliopsida; Poales; Poaceae
Source: RefSeq, a predicted model, not a curated record
GCCUCUAUAAAAGCAGCUUAACCACAACACAAAGGUACACAGCCCGUAGUACAGCAGCAGCAUAGCAAGUGAGAAGGGAGAUCAGAUCGAAGAUUCAGACAUGAGGACGCAGCGAAAUGCUCUCUCUUUGCGCGCGCUGCUCCAGAUGGUCUUCAUGCUCAUCGCUGCUUUCCAGGCCGUCUCUGUGCAAGGAGGUACUAGAGGACUUUCACCGUUUGGACUCGGAAGACCUACUGCCGCUGGAGAGGUACACGGCGAGCCUUAUACUGGACGCAGAUGUAUUCCUAUUUACGGUUGUGACCAUCAUGGUGCAGCUCCAUGACUAAGUAUACGAAUAUAGUACUCCUGGCUACCAGCGCUCGCAUGUAUCAGAUAGAAAUAUCCUUCGACGCCUCUAAUUGCAGUGUGGUAUAUCCAAUUUAGGGACCUUUUUUUUUUUUUGAACAUAAGGGGGGUCCGGAAAGACCCCGAUGCUGCAUUAGAAAGACGUCGAUGGAAUACAUCUUACAAGCAAGACCCCCGAAAAGUAAAACAUUACAACCAGGAUCAUAGAAGUUACAGAAAACACCCUGUAUCUGAAAAAGGAAAAGCAAUCAAGGACAGGGCUACGAGCUGCUCCUUCUCCACCGCGACAUCGAUGCAACCAAGCACGAUCAUCUGCUUCACCACCGGGGACUACGCCACUUGGGGUGGAGCAGCGGGAGCACAUCGUCUUGGCGCUAGAGAGCCUCCGCAACGGCAACCAGGCCUGGAGGUAGAUUACCCAUCGCCAUCUGAAGAGCGACCAGGGCGGGAGUGGCUGCCCAUCAGCCAUGAGACUCAGCAGCCAGAAGAUAUCAGGAGCUGCCGAGGAUGAACUCCCAGAAAACGCAGCACGAGCAUCUCGCCAGUGACCUCCAGAUCCACAUCGCCUAGAGCUGCAACAACUCCUCUCCUCGCCUCCACGGCCGGCCAGAGGAUGAAGGCAAUCUCGAAACCACCGCAUCUGGAAUCCACCCCGCCUAUCACCUGCAUCGAGAAAUAGCACAACAGCCUGCGCCCUCCCCUCGCCACCACAGCCGGCCAGAGGGUGCCUGUCAUCACCACCGCUCGACUUGAGCUCAAGGCAACUAAGAGCGAUCUUAUUCAAAGGAGUGGUGGCUCUUGCUCCCGCAACCCACUCCGGCCAGAGGAGCAAGGAAACAAGAAGGAAAAGCCCGAAAGACCGGCAGAUCUGACCGCAGAGAUCCCGGCCUCCACCCCUAGCUACGGGCAUAGAGCCCAGACGCGGCAUAAGCCGAAAAAACAGGAAAAACAGCAACAAGAACUAUACCUAAACUACUCCGGCGCCUCUCAGAACCUGCUCCGGCCGGCUACUCCGGCGGAGAGGCCAGAUCGGCCCGGGAUUCACUCGGAGACUCUCAAGAACACUGUUUUUUUCGAUAAAGACUCAAGAACACUGUAGAGGGAGGAGAGCGGUUCGGGGAUUGGAGUAGAAGAACUUGUGGAAGUCCAAUUUAAAGGAAUGCAUAUGCUAUUUUGUUGGGGUGUGACUAUUUCUCUAUCGAAUGAGAACUAAAUUCGUUCUUAGUCAGAUGCUGUUAUUAAAUUUCAGUUGCAACAUGAGUUAUAAUUUCAUGACUAGCAUGAAUCACGAUGCAAAUUAAAUGGUGUAAGACUUAACUGAGCACUAGCAAAUCCCAUUUUAUUGUGCACCCGGAGUAUCAAUAAAAACAUUAUUUAUCUAAGUGGCCAUGAAGACUAGAGUGGUCCGCCUAAAACUAGCUAAAACCACAUAACUCAAAGGGGUACCAGCAAAUCUCACCAAUCUUUGUGUUUUAAUCACCGGUGAGUUUUAGAGAGCACAAACCACUAAAGCAGAACCCUGAAGACUAUUUCUGUUCUAAUUUCACUGGAAGUUGGAUUGAAAGUACUCCCUCCAAUCCUAAGCAUAAGAUGUAAAAUUUCGUCUAAGACUAAUGCCGUGAGCGAGUCCAGGUGCAGGAGUGAUCGCUAGUUUACCGAAACUGCACCUCCUCAUUAAAUUCCCAUCUCCUCAAAACUCGCUGCAAUUAUACCAAAAACUACUACAUCACACCUCUUCUUAGAUCCGUGAUCACUUCGCAAGCCACCUACUACCUCACACCUCGUGUCCUACCACCGGGUACUACAAGGUUCAUCAACAAAAUCACGAGGACUUUUCUUUUGUCGGCUAAGGAUACCACUACCGGCGCCAAAUGCAAAGUUAAUUUUGAAACUGUGUGCCGUCCCAAGAAGCUUGGAGGGCUUGGUGUCAUGAACUUGGAUAAAUUUGCCACGGCUCUUCGUCUUCGUUGGCUUGGCUUGAGUGGAAAGAUAGCUCUAAAAUUUGGGCGGGCACCAAAAACCCAUGCUCCAAGGAGGACAUGGAAAUCUUCUACGCCGCAACCACCAUUGCCAUCGUUAACGGUUGCAAGACUCCCUUUUGGGAAGCCCCUUGGCUCGAUGGGAGGAAGCCCAAGGACAUAGCAGCGCUCAUAUUCGCUUCUUCGAAAAGGAAAUCUUGGAAUGUCAACAAAGCGUUGGAGGACAAUGCUUGGGUGCGAAUGAUCAUCCUUGAUGAGAGCUUCACCAUGGACCAUCUCUCACAAUUUGUCGGUUUAUGGGUAAAACCUCAAGGAGUGCAUCUACAUGAGGAGGUCGCCGAUGAUAUUUCUUGGAAGCUCACGGCUAAUGGCCAAUACUUGGCCAAGUCGGCCUAUGAAUUGCAAUUUUCAGGCUCCACUUUCUCCUCCCUUCACAAGUCGGUGUGGAAGGUUUGGGCUCCUCCUAAGGUCAAGUUCUUCACAUGGCUUCUCACUCAAAAUAGGAUUUGGACAGCGGACCAGCUUCGAAAGAGCGGGUGGCCAAAUUGUGGGUUGUGUCCUCUAUGCAAGCAAGUGACGGAGUCAGUUAGUCAUCUCUUCAUCCAUUGCCGGUUCUCCGUGCGGCUUUGGUGCUCCCUGAGGGAUUGGUUCAGCCUCCCGGUAUCCAACCAAACCUUUGGGUGGAUCUUUCAAUCAAGACAUGGUGGGACUACAUGACCACUAAUGCCGUUCCUAGCCGCAAAGCCGUGGCCUCCCUCUCCUUGCUUGUUCUUUGGGAAAUUUGGAAUGAGAGGAAUGCGAGGGUUUUCUAUAACAAGCAUGUCCCACAUGCAGUUAUUCUAAAAAAAAUAAGAGUGAAGCCCGCUUGUGGGCUUCCGCGGGCGCAAAACACCUUAGGGAGAUUUUGCCGGGAGAGUAAUCCCUUUGUUUCCACGGUUUAAUACCAUUUUGUAAGGACUAUCUUGUCCAGAAACUUCUUCUUAAUUAAUAAAAUGAGGCAAAGCUUUUACCUCCAUUUAGAAAAAAUAUACCAAAAACUCCGCCGUUUCUUCGGCUUCCGAGAAAAUCAAUUACUGCACACGCCAACCCCAUCAAGAGAAAGAAACCAUGGCUGCUUAGAAUGGUGCUUUGAGUUGACACAUCCAGCAUCAACACCAUUGGCAUGUCCAUAUGCUUCAUGAUCAUCACCAAUUGCACCGCCUCCGUCCAUUGCUCCAUGACUAGCACAGGCAGCACCACAUACAACACCGCCUCUUUCACAACCACUGCGCCCUGCAGCUACGCCUCUUCCACGUCCAUCACGAGCAGGAACAUCUCCACGUCCAGCUUCCGCAUCUCCAUCGCCAGCACCUGCAGCUCUGAAUGGUGGGUGGCGGCUGCCUACACGUGUUGUUGAGGGCGGUGGCGUUCACAUGGUGGGGGAGUGCGGGGAGAGCCCAAGACGUCUGCUUCAUCCGUUGGUAUGGCCUUGAUAUGGAUAUGAAAAAUGAGCUGGAAUAUAACAGGCUCUAUCUUAUCGAAUGGCUUAAUCUUCAUCCCACAUAAAUUAGUUCCAACUACUACUGAAGCAAGAAUCUGAUGCUAACUUCGCCAAGAUUUUGUUCUGCACACAGAAGUGCUCUAGGUUAUGAGGUUUUUCAUGGGGAUCAUCUAUAAUCACAACAAUAGAUGGUGGGCUAACCAGUGCUUGCGGUUAAAUGUAAAAAUAAAGUUUCUAGAGAAUUAGAUUUUGAGUUAAGGGGUUUUCGACGUCAGAGAGUUCUAUAAUUAUACAAGUUUUACAAAUGGCACACAUGAUUUAUCAGUGGCCGAUCCCUUUGGUAGCGCAUUAUGACCAGCUGUUGAUAUGGAGAAACUAGAUGGAUGAUCUUCAAUUUUAAUGAUGAUGACUUAUGCUCGCGUAGUCACAGUCAAAAUAAUCUUUAAUUUUAGUGAUGAAUUUUUUAUUAUCAAGAAAGUUUAUUCAAUCUAAGCACACUCAUUGUGAUGACUCAAGGCAUUUAGUUUCAUUAUAAGUUGUAAUGAUGUGAACAAUAAAUUUUGUCAGUUUAUUUAUGUAUAUCGGCCAGAUUUGUUGGACUUCUUAUGAACCUGGUUCAUCCUAAAUGCUUUUGUAACCUAUGUACCUCGUCUAUUUUCAUAAAUUUCCUUGUUUAUGCAAUAGUUAUAAUUGCAGUUUGUACUUUUUUGUUGCUACGAGCAGUCAUCUCGAUGCCUCUAUUUAUCAACGUAUAUUUUUUCGAUAAAGAUAAAUUACGUAUACGAUGUUGGUCUUCAAUUUAAGGAUUAUAGUGAGAUCGAUAUAUUGUGUUCUUCAGAAAAUGAAAUCUUACAUGUAUGAUUUAUAGUAGGCUCGAAUUGUGUUAAAAAAUUAGAAAAUAUUUUAAUAGAAUUAAACUAAAAUUUAAAUUACAUUAAACUUAAUAAUAAUUUAAACCUAGUCUCAUUGUUGGAGGACACAACUAUACUCCUAGCCUCGGUCGCAGACAACCGCAAGAGACCGCUUCGACACUCAACAUAUACAGCCAACACAACUAACACACAAUUAAAUGUAGAAAAACGCAUAUCAGCCUAAACUGGCAUAUCAGGGCUCAUAUGUAUUUCUAUUCAUCAAUUUCGCUAUCAAGAUGGAUAAUAUAGAAUUAUGUAAUUUGGGACGUUAGAUAUAUAAUAUAUAUAAUAUUACUACAACCUUUAAUCCUGUUGAAUACCCAGUCUGGUGAGGCUACCUCCGAUUGGUGCAUUUACAGUCGUUGGAUCUCCAUCUUAGAUGAUCUAGGUCGUCCGUUUGAUCUGGUCGGUGAGAGUUUAAGCACUUUGCUAUGUGUCUCUCUUCCGGCUGACAUUGGGUCCCAUGGCUACAAUUCACAGCAAAGAGUAAUCUCCAUGGUGUAAAGAGGCAAAAGGUUUUCACCCAUUCACUCACACACGCGCCCCCAGACCCAAUCCCGCAGGCCGCAGCUCACUCAUUCUUUCUUUCUCCUCUGUCCUAGAGUUUAGGGUUCACCGCCGCCGCCCCCACACCCGUCGCCGCCCUCACAACCCACACAUCAGACGCCGACUCCGCCGCCCUCCCCACUCCCUAGCCGUCGUGCCGUGUACCGAGGCAGCCAUCGGGGCAUUAUUCUCCUUCCCAAGAUCCUUCCGAGGCAUAUGGCGGCGCGGAAACUGAUUUCAGCCCCUACCUCUCCUUCCCGAGGUGGCGAAUGGCGAGGAAGAGGACUUUGGCGCCCUCCUCUUCCUCCUGAGGUAGCGCAGCUAUGGGACGAGCCGGCGCGGCCAGUGCUCGUGGUUCAAGACAUUCGUCUCGCAGGACAACGCAAGCCGGCCGUCCGGCGCGCUGUACAUAUGGAGAACAUCUUUGAGAGGUGACCGCCAAUGUUGGCAAGGGCACGAUAAUCUCGAGGACGGUGCAGUAUGUUUCGUUUCUCAUUUUCCCUCUUUUUUUUCAAUUGAAUAUGUGAUUGUUCGAUGAAUUAGAGUGGUUUGGUCACAGCGAUGAUUAGAUGAUGGAUGGUGCAAAUCAAUGCUUGGAUGUAUGUUGAACACAUGCUUCGUCAAGUUUGCUUGAUUGGAGUAUAUGCAGGUUUGCUAGCUAUGGGAAGACACAAGUGUCGCAAACCAGCGAGCUCGACCAUGGUAUGUUCAAGCGUCUAUUCCCGUUGUCGUCGCCGGCAAAGCACGUCUGCGCUCUCCUCACGCCUCGGUCAGCGAAGGCCUCCCCGAGGGUGGCAAGCCGGUGCUAGGUGUGGACAAGAGCUUCGGCUUCUCCAAGCACUUAUCCGCCAAGGCGAGUGCAGCAGACUGAACAUAGGACUGACCAAGCUGAUUGCUAAGGAUGACUGGUCGUAUCUAGCUCCAAGCAAUGUUGGAAGAGAUCAUAUACUCCCAUGGAAGGGUGUGUUUGUUCAAGAAAUGCUUAGGCAUAAGCGGCAAGCUGCUGACGUUAUUUUCUUCUGUCAUCGAGGCUACCCAGCAGCAGAUCCAUGAACCAAAAAAUCUGAAACAGCUAAGCUGCCUGCUGCGUGCUACCACUUUUUUUUCUUGAGAAACUGUGUAGCCCAGAAUUUAGCAGCUAGCACAUAACAUCAUCUAGAAUUUUAUUAGUUGUUGUUUAAUCAUGUCGUUGCCGGAUCCUAAAUAUCCUGUUUUGUUUAUGCGCACUGAUAUUUGACAGUAACUAGAAUGUGAUUGUUCGAUGACAGUAACUAGGAUCCUAAAUAUCCUGUUUUGUUUUUCA